CGGAAACUCAUAAACAUUUCACCUUCUUUUAAAUUCUAGGAAACAUCCUUGUGAUCAUUUUAAAAAGCUUUAUAAGGAUAAAAUUGAAGAAGUUCUUAAUCCAUGCUCUGAAUUUUUCCACCUAACUUUUCAUAUUCAAGAAAAGCAUUACAAAUGUAAGGAAUGUGUAACAGCUUUGAAUAAAACUCCAAGCAUUACUGAACACCAGAGAAUUUAUACUGGAGACAUGGCAUACAAAUGUAAAGAAUGUGGCCAAGCUUUUACUUUUAGGGAAGACCUUAUUGUGAACCAGAGUAUUCACACUGAAGAGAAACCUUACAAAUGCAAAGAAUGUGGCAAAGCUUUUAAUGAAAUAUCACGCCUUACUCAACACCAGAGAAUUCAUAUUGGAGAGAAGCCAUAUAAAUGUAAAGAAUGUUCCAAAGGUUUUACGGCUAGGCAAAGUCUUGUGGUGCACCAGAGAAUUCAUACUGGAGAAAAACCAUACAAAUGUGAAGAAUGUGGCAAAGCUUUUAAUGUAAGUUCAAAACUUAUUAUUCACCAGAGAAUUCAUACUGGAGAGAAGCCAUACAAAUGUAAAGAAUGUGUCAAAGCUUUUACUCGUAGAGAAAGCUUGAUUGUGCACCAGAGAAUUCACACUGGAGAGAAGCCAUACAAAUGUAAAGAAUGUGGCAAAACUUUUAACAGAACCUCAAAACUUACUGAUCACCAGAAAAUUCAUAUUGGAGAGAAGCCACACAAAUGUAAUGAAUGUGGUAAAGCUUUUACUUUUAGGCAAAACCUUAUUGUGCACCACAAAAUUCACACUGGAGAGAAGCCAUACAAAUGUGAAGAAUGUGGCAAAGCUUUUAAUGUAAAUUCAAAACUUAUUAUACACGAGAGAAUUCAUACUGGAGAGAAGCCAUACAAAUGUAAAGAAUGUGGCAAAGCUUUUACUGUUAGUCAACACCUUGUUGUGCACCAGAGAAUUCACACUGGAGAGAAACCUUACAAAUGCAAUGAAUGUGGUAAAUCUUUUAAUGUAAGGUCAAAACUUAACAUUCACCAGAGAAUUCAUACUGGAGAGAAGCCAUACAAGUGUGAAGAAUGUAGCAAAGCUUUUACUGUGAGUCAGCACCUUGUUGUGCACCAGAGAAUUCACACUGGAGAGAAACCUUACCUCUGUCAAGAAUGUGGCAAAGCUUUUAAUGUAAGUUCAAAACUUAUGAUUCACCAGAGAAUUCAUACUGGAGAGAAGCCACACAAUUGUAAAUAAUGUGGCAAAGCUUUCACCUUUAGGUGAAGCCUUAUUGGGCACCGGAGAAUUCACAUUCUUGAGCAACCAUAAAAAUUAAAGAAUGUUGCAAAACUUAAUAGAAGCUAAAAACUUAUUAUUCAUCAGAGGAUUCAUAGUGGAGAAGAGUCAUACAAAUGUAAAGAAUGUGGCAAAGCUUUUAAUAAAAGUUCAACCCUUUUUGUUCACCAUAGAAUUUAUACAGAAGUGAACCCAUAUAAAUGUAGUGAAUAUGGCAAAGCUUUUAUUGUUAGCAACACCUUAUUGUGCACGAGAGAAUUCACAGUGAAGAUAAACCAUACAAAUAUAAAGAAUGUGGCAAAGCUUUUAAAGAAAGCUGAACUCUUACUAUUCACCAGAGAAUUAAUACUGGAGAGAAUGUGGCAAAGCUUUCACUUUUAGGCAAAGCCUUAUUAUGAACCAGAAAAUUCACACUGGGGAGAAACCAUACAAAUAUAAAGAAUAUUUGCAAACCUAAAGAAUGUAAGAAUUAUUUAUUCAUUUUUAUCUCCAGAAAAUUCAUACUGGAAAAAAAAACUUUAGAUUGUAAUCUUUUGGUUUCAAUCAAACGUCAACCUUUUAAAUACAUCAAGAAGAUUAUAGUAGCAAUUAAAUCCUACAAAUGUGAAUAAUUGACAAUGAUUUUAAUAAAAGCCCACAUGUUACAAAUCUCCACAGAUUUAGAAUUGAAGAGAAGUCCUACUUUUGCCAACAAUAUGUCAGAGCUUUAUUAAAAAACUGUAUUCAAUCCUAAUGCAUAUACUAUCUGUAGAAAACCCUGUAACAUGCAUGUCAUACAUAUCAGAAAAAUGUUUAGUAUUGAGAAAAAUGUUAACACAUGAGAAGUACAGCAACAUCGUUGCUGUCCAUAUAUUUUUGAAUGUGAGAAUCAUCAGAGAGAAUUUCUGUAUACAUAGGGAAAAUGACCUUCUUUUAAGAGUUACUUAAAAUUUACUUGGCAUUAUUAGUUGAUAUGAUAGAAACAAAGAAAUUUUUAAGUAUCAGCAUAGUUCAGAUAGCUCAUCCCUGAAAAGAUAAUCAUAUAUAUAUAUAUA
RNAcentral lists this long non-coding RNA (2328 nucleotides) under Marmota monax (woodchuck). The record is from RNAcentral. Lineage: Eukaryota; Metazoa; Chordata; Mammalia; Rodentia; Sciuridae.